AUGGCCGCUGCCGCUACAGUCUCAAUGUUGGUCUCAAUCAUGUGGAAACAAUAAUAGAUCGGAUUCGAUGGAGAGAAAGGUUCUCAAGGACUUCAAGGUUGAAUUUAGCCCGAAAACUUCACAUCGACGCCAAUCUACGGUACGGCCUACGUAAGCUUAUUAGCCGUAUAGUGAGAUUUAUUCUUCAAGUCGAAAAAUCGACUUUAUUUUUUAAUUGCGGAAGCUAAUUAAAAUUGGAAAACGAGUAUUUUUAGAUUCUUAAUUCUUACACACAAUCUAUUGUGUCUUUCAAAAGAUAUCUUGAAGAAGAUUUCUAAAAAAAUUUGAAUUGUUCAUUCGAUCGAUUGAUCAUCCAUUACUUAAUAUUAAAGAAAUCUUGAAAUUUCAAUGAAAUCGUCUUAAAAAAUUACACUUUAACUUUUUAAAAGCGUUUUUCAAUUAUGUGGUUGGCCUGGUCGGGUGAAUUUUUUUAUUGGUCUCCAACCCUUGUCGGACGUGAGACCCAUCGAGACCUUGCUUAAGACCGGUCGAGAUCAUUGGUAUUGGUGGGUCUCGAAACUCUCGAAAUUUUGUAACUUUAUCAUCAUAAGGCUUAUGUUCCACAUCGGUCUUGGUGGGUCUCAGCCAGUCUCAAUGCUUUAUAUUUUUUAUCCUCUUGAAAAUAAAUAUUCCAGCGUUAAUCAUAUUUUGAUAUUUUAAUUUAUAAAGCAUAUUUUACAGCCUUGAGAGUGACUUUUGAUCUCCUUUGCGCAGUAUUCUUAUCAAUCCUCAUUAGUUUUCAAUUGUUGCAACGCUCUUAUUAAUUUUCUACUGUUGCGAACGUUUUAAAUCAUAUAACGGCUGAUUUCAUUUUAAAAACUUCAGAACUUGGCCGAUUUGAUGGUCCAGUGUACAUCAACUAGAAUCUGCCAUUUGGCUGCCAGAUGGUUGUAGCCUUCAUGAGAAAAUUCUGGACCUACACGCCAGUAAGACAAAGCACUUGUAUUAAACGACGUAAAUAUUGAAUGAAUUUAUUUACGCCUGCGUCAGUGAAUGCUGAAAUUUACACAUAAUACAGCAAUCAAAAUUUGGUAUUUAAAUUCCAAAAUCAUUUAUCAAAGCCUCGACAGCGACUUUUGAAAUUUCUCAAUAUAAUAUAUUUGCAAAUUCGUGCAGUGUUAUUUUUUCAAUCCUGCCAUUAUUUUUCCAUUGUUGCAAAGCCGUUUAUUACUUUUUGAAUUGUUUCACGUUCAAAGUUCUCGAAAGUCACGGUUUUUGAAUAAUUCUGCCCAUUUCAAAAUUAUGAAUAACUCGGUUCUCAAGCCUCCUCGAUUUCCGGACGACGCAGUGGAAGUUCUGCAAGAAGCCAGUGAUUUAGGCCGGAAGGCAGGCACAGCCCACAUUGAGGCCAAUUUACCUUACGGUCUCCAAGUUGCCGUGGCCCAGAAGAACAAGCUAGAUCUUCGACGCCCAUUCCAGCCGCAUGGAAAGGCUGGCUGUCGUCGAGGGAAGCAGCCGUCGGGGCAAAGGUCUAACAAUAAGUUACACCGGCCUCACCACAACAGAGGCUGCUCAAGUGCGUGCCGAUCCCCGGAAAGCGAAGCCAGCCUUGCUGGUUCAAUUUUGCUUGUCGAAUCGGCUUGACAUGUACGGCUGUGUCAGCCUGCCUGACCUGGCUGUGGUUGUGAACAGGGCCCUGAGGAAAGAAAAGAAUAGAGCUCGUCGGGAUGCGAUGGAGGCUACGGCUCUUGUGAGGGCAGCCGAGGCAAAGCAGCCGAAGGGUCUGAUGGACAAGAUCGUCUUGUGGAUUUGGGGCGGCCCUUAGGAGAAUUGCACACCGUCCUUAGCCACACUGAGGCGGACCAGUUGCAAGCUGAUCCCAAGGAAGCCUCUCUGGUUCAAUUUUGCUUGGCCAAUCAGCUGGACUUCUACGGCUGCAUAAGCCUACCUGACCUGGCUGUUGUUGUGGAACGGGCGCAGAGGAAAGAAAAGAAUAGAGCUCGUCGGGAUACAAUGGAGGCUACGGCUCUUGUGAGGGCAGCCGAGGCAAAGCAGCCGAAGGGUCUGAUGGACAAGAUUGUCACGUGGAUGUGGGGCGCCCCCAAGGAGCAGUGAGAUAACAAGCAGUCAAAUAAAAUCAUACAUUUUAAGUUUAAUUAUUUUUUGAACAAUUUAUUGACUCCAUUGUUAAUCAAAAACACAUUUACAAGUAUUCAAGUUUUUUGCUGUAAGCGGAUCAGUUUUGAAUUUUACAAAAUAGGCAGCCUAAUAUUGAGAUUUAUUCUGCAAGUUGGAAUCCACUAAUUUUUUUAAUUGUGGAAAUUAAUUAAAUUGAAAAUGUUUUGAGAUUCUUAUGCAAUCUUUUAUAUAUUUCAAGAUAUGUAUUGAUGUUCUUAUGCAAUCUUUUAUAUAUUUCAAGAUAUGUAUUGAUGUAUCUAGCUCAAGUUUUCUUAAAAGCUUUUUUAAUUGUUCAUUCAAUUGAAGUCCAAUAAAAACCAUUUGUUAUAAUUAUGCAAUUUAACUGUUAGACUUAAUAAUCUUAUGUGGAGGAAGGAUAUUUCCAAGAUUCUACAUUUUAUGGUGCAACAAGAGGAAGGUUUUACAUGCUAGACACUUUGACUUUUGAUUUGCUUUUGAUUAAAACUUUUAAUAUUUGCUAGGAGAGGCGUUCAUUGGCGUUGUUAAAUUUUCUACACUCUUUUUAUUAAUAAAGAAAUACACAUCAUAAAAUACUUACUUUUAUC
Long non-coding RNA from Neocloeon triangulifer, 2723 nucleotides. RefSeq lists it as uncharacterized. The record is from RefSeq and is a predicted model, not a curated record. The transcript has 5 exons. Lineage: Eukaryota; Metazoa; Arthropoda; Insecta; Ephemeroptera; Baetidae.